Non-coding RNA from Aspergillus pseudoviridinutans, 129 nucleotides. Lineage: Eukaryota; Fungi; Ascomycota; Eurotiomycetes; Eurotiales; Aspergillaceae. The record is from the annotation of a RefSeq genome assembly.
GGCAAGGUGGCCGAGAGGUUAAGGCGUUUGGCUCGAAAUGGUGGUACAACUACAGUAAGCCAUUACUGGGGUUGUACCGCCAGUGACCAAAUUCGUUCGCGAACCAGGGUUCGAAUCCCUGCCUUGUCG